This is a long non-coding RNA of Bombus impatiens (common eastern bumble bee), 1496 nucleotides long. RefSeq lists it as uncharacterized. The transcript has 5 exons. NCBI's taxonomy places the organism in Eukaryota, Metazoa, Arthropoda, Insecta, Hymenoptera, Apidae. The record is from RefSeq and is a predicted model, not a curated record.
AUUGAUCACUGUCAUAGACAAGGAGAAAAACACGAAGAAAGGCGUGAUGGAACAAGAGGAAUCGCGUCACGAACCGAACAUCGCCACGAAACGUUUCAUACUGCGGGUUCUCUUAUCAUCGUCUGCCCGUCGUACCUGACAACGUAUACAGGUAUAUACAUUCAUACAAAAGCAAAUUGAACGCGCGUGAUCGUGUAUCUAGCGAGAAAGAAUGGAGAACAAUGGACCAGAUGUGGUUGUCGUCGAGUUAUGAUGGUUAUUUUACUGUUAUAGUAAGGAAACUUUUUAAUUGUAAAAAGCUGCUUGUAAUUGGAUGUGUUGAUUUGUAUCGACUGCGUUAUAAUUAAUGUUCUGAAAAUGGAAUUUUUGUUUUGGAUGAUAAUCCAGUCGAUCGCUCGUUUGUUUUUAAAAGUAUGUUUGACGAAUGUGAGGAAGUUGAAGUAUAUUUAGUUUUUAAUCUAUACUUUUGUUUAGAAACAACAAUUGAAAACAUGUAUUUAUACUUUUUAUCUUUAUUUUAGCCUUUAUUUCCGCAAAUGAAUAACUUGUUCCUAGAAAACUUUUAAAUUGUAUGACAUUACAGGGGGUCAAGUCAAGACCUUGCUAUAAUAUGGAAAUCGUUACAGAUGUCACAGUUGUUAUACAUAUGCAGAGAGUUAUAAACGUAUUAACCUUCAAUCGAUCACAACUUCGCUUAGAGAAGCCUUUUAUUUCAUUAAUUGUAUAUUUUCGUUGCAUUAAAUAUAUAAUAUAAAAUAAAAAUACAUGUAAGAGAAAAUAUGUCGAAUUAGAAAGCUAUUAGUGUCAUCAAUGAUCCAAAGAUGAUAGAAAGUUAGUAAAAUACAACACUGCAAUAAUAAGCAAGCGAGAAAUAAGCUUUAUAAAAUAUAUGAAUACGUAUUUGUUGGACUUGGUGGAAAAAAUAUCCUAACGAUUCUAUUUACAUAAAAAACUGGAAAUAAAUUAAACUUAAUCACCUACACAACCUAUUAACUGGUAGACCUGGAUGGAAAAAUGGAAAAUUAAUUUUCCAUGAAGACAUGAAGUUGAAAAAAUAUUCUUAUCUUAUAUUGGUUGGAAGUUUAGAUAAUAGCGAUUGGUAUCCGACUCUAAUUAACUAUUUCUCCACUGUGCACCUUAUCUACAAAUUGGACAAUAAAACAAGGGAGCGAAAGACAAAUGAUUCGGUACAUGUUUGGAAUGUUUCUGAGCAGAAAUUGACGCUUCUGAGAUUAAGAUAAGGGAAAACUAAGUAUUCAAUAAAAAUUUGUUCGGAUCUCUAUAAUUCCAUGUGAUUUAAAAGUUUCAUACUUUUGCAUCUAUAUUCUACUAUUUUCUACAUUUUUAUCAUUAUAUCAUUGAAUUUCAAGCGGGCAAUUUAUUUGUAGCACUUGUAAAUUGCUAUGUAUUUUCUUUGUGGAAAUAAAAGACAUAAUCAACAGUAUCUUUUUUCUUGCAGUAAGCAAGGAGACGUCUGGAUACAGAGGAAUGCAAAA